RNAcentral lists this ribosomal RNA (429 nucleotides) under Verrucomicrobiota bacterium. RNAcentral describes it as "Verrucomicrobia bacterium partial 16S ribosomal RNA". It matches the Rfam family "Bacterial small subunit ribosomal RNA", at positions 355 to 776 of the family's 1533-position model. The record is from RNAcentral. Lineage: Bacteria; Pseudomonadati; Verrucomicrobiota.
UAGGGAAUCUUCCGCAAUGGACGAAAGUCUGACGGAGCAACGCCGCGUGAGUGAAGAAGGUUUUCGGAUCGUAAAGCUCUGUUGUUAAGGAAGAACGAGUGUGAGAAUGGAAAGUUCAUGCUGUGACGGUACUUAACCAGAAAGGGACGGCUAACUACGUGCCAGCAGCCGCGGUAAUACGUAGGUCCCGAGCGUUGUCCGGAUUUAUUGGGCGUAAAGCGAGCGCAGGCGGUUAGAAAAGUCUGAAGUGAAAGGCAGUGGCUCAACCAUUGUAGGCUUUGGAAACUGUUUAACUUGAGUGCAGAAGGGGAGAGUGGAAUUCCAUGUGUAGCGGUGAAAUGCGUAGAUAUAUGGAGGAACACCGGUGGCGAAAGCGGCUCUCUGGUCUGUAACUGACACUGAGGCGCGAAAGCGUGGGGAGCAAACAGG